AUUGAACGCUGGCGGCAGGCCUAACACAUGCAAGUCGAACGAGUGGCGGACGGGUGAGUAAUGUCUGGGAAACUGCCUGAUGGAGGGGGAUAACUACUGGAAACGGUAGCUAAAACCGCAUACCAUCAGAUGUGCCCAGAUGGGAUUAGCUAGUUGGGGGGGUAACGGCUAACAAAGGCGACGAUCCCGAGCUGGUCUGAGAGGAUGACCGGCCACACUGGAAUUGAGACACGGCCCAGACUCCUACGGGAGGCAGCAGUGGGGAAUAUUGCACAAUGGGCGCAAGCCGGAUGAAGCAAGGCCGCGUGUAGGAAGAAGGCCUUCGGGUUGUAAAGUACUUUCAGCGGGGAGGCGUUACCCGCAGAAGAAGCACCAGCUAACUCCGUGCCAGCCGCCGCGGUAAUAC
Molecule: ribosomal RNA, 406 nt
Filed under: uncultured bacterium
Lineage: Bacteria
Description: partial 16S ribosomal RNA
Rfam family: Bacterial small subunit ribosomal RNA
Source: RNAcentral